This 253-nucleotide ribosomal RNA is filed under the name uncultured bacterium. RNAcentral's name for it is "partial 16S ribosomal RNA". It matches the Rfam family "Bacterial small subunit ribosomal RNA", at positions 524 to 776 of the family's 1533-position model. The record is from RNAcentral.
UACGUAGGUGGCAAGCGUUAUCCGGAAUUACUGGGCGUAAAGCGCCCGCAGGUGGUGGGUUAAGUUUGACGUGAAAGCUCUUGGUUUAACUGAGAGAGGUCGUUGAAAACUGGCCGACUAGAGGCGAAGAGAGGGGUGUAGAAUUCCCGGUGUAGUGGUGGAAUGCGUAGAGAUCGGGAGGAAUACCAGAGGCGCAAGCGACACCCUGGCCUUGGCCUGACGCUGAGGGGCGAAAGCGUGGGGAGCGAACGGG